UCUGGGAUUAGAUACCCCACUAUACCUUUACUUAAAUUUCAACACCAGAGAAUUACGAUUUUUAAUUAAAACUUAAAGAACUUGGCGAUUUUUUAUAUCUAUUCGGAGGAGUUUGUUAUUAAAUUGAUUUUCCACAAGAAACCUUACCCCAUUUUGAAUACUUCAGCUUGUAUACCAUCGUCGCCAGCUUAUUUUUAAGAAUAUAAGCUAUAAGAAAAAUUUUCUAAACGUCAGAUCAAGGUGCAGCCUAUAAAGGGGGGAUCAAUGAGCUACUUUACCAAAAAAGUAAGAGGAAAAAAAUUUGAAAAAAUUAUUUAAAAGAGGAUUCGACAGUAAUUUUUUAUAUAAAAAUAAAAUGAAAAAGCCCUAAAAUACGCACAUACCGCCCGUCACCCUCCUCAA
Molecule: ribosomal RNA, 402 nt
Filed under: Peniagone diaphana
Lineage: Eukaryota; Metazoa; Echinodermata; Holothuroidea; Elasipodida; Elpidiidae
Description: partial 12S ribosomal RNA
Source: RNAcentral